RNAcentral lists this unclassified non-coding RNA (328 nucleotides) under soil metagenome. Its description in RNAcentral is "partial contains 5.8S ribosomal RNA, internal transcribed spacer 2, and large subunit ribosomal RNA". The stretch from base 1 to 120 matches the Rfam family "5.8S ribosomal RNA", at positions 35 to 154 of the family's 154-position model. The record is from RNAcentral.
GAUGAAGAACGUAGCGAAAUGCGAUAAGUAAUGUGAAUUGCAGAAUUCAGUGAAUCAUCGAAUCUUUGAACGCACAUUGCACCCCUUGGUAUUCCGAGGGGCAUGCCUGUUCGAGCGUCAUUAUAACCCUCAAGCUCAGCUUGGUGUUGGGGCCUGCUGCACUGGCAGCCCUUAAAAUCAGUGGCGGCGCCAUCUGGCUCUAAGCGUAGUAAUUCUUCUCGCUAUGGAGUCCUGGUGGAUGCUUGCCAUCAACCCCCAAUUUUUCUAUGGUUGACCUCGGAUCAGGUAGGGAUACCCGCUGAACUUAAGCAUAUCAAUAAGCGGAGGA